Lynx canadensis (Canada lynx) is the source of this 170-nucleotide long non-coding RNA. RefSeq lists it as uncharacterized. The transcript has 3 exons. NCBI's taxonomy places the organism in Eukaryota, Metazoa, Chordata, Mammalia, Carnivora, Felidae. The record is from RefSeq and is a predicted model, not a curated record.
GUCUUUUGUGGUUCCAUACAAAUUUUAGGAUUAUUUGUUCUAGUUCUGUGAAAAAUGCUGUUGGUAUUUAGACAGAGAUUGUGCUGAAUCUGUAGAUAGCUUUGAAUAGUACGGACAUUUUCAGUGUGUUAAUUCUUCCAACCCAUGAGUAUGGAAUAUCUUUCCAUUUG